RNAcentral lists this small RNA (696 nucleotides) under Pongo abelii (Sumatran orangutan). Its description in RNAcentral is "processed transcript". Lineage: Eukaryota; Metazoa; Chordata; Mammalia; Primates; Hominidae. The record is from RNAcentral.
GGAGCCCCACGCCUUGGAGCUCAACACUGCCCACUCAGCGAGGAAGCAGCCACGACGCCCACACUUCCUGCUGGAGCCUGCGCAGAGCCAGAGGCCUCAGAAGCCACAGGAACAUGGCCUAGGCAUGGCUCAGCCAGCAGCCCCCUCCCUGACGCGGCCCUUCCUGGCAGAGGCCCCGACAGCACUGGUCCCACACAGCCCCCUGCCAAGCACCCCUGGCCUGAAGCAGCCCCCGACGGCAAGCACAGGCCCGGAGCUGCUGCUGCUGCCUCCUUCCUCCUUCAUGUCCUGCGGGGCGGCUGCACCAGCCAGGUUGUCAGCACAGCCGGCUACUCCUAGGGAUAAGCCCCCGGUCCCCUCAUCCCUGGCCAGUGUCCCUGACCCCCAUCUACUCCUUCCUGGGGACUUCUCAGCCACCAGGGCUGGGCCUGGACUUUCAACUGCAGAAAGAGCUGGAACAGGUGGAAAUGCAGAUCCAGCUGCUGGCAGAGGAGCUCCAGGCUCAGCGCCAGCCCAUUGGCACCUGCGUUGCCCGCAUCCAGGCCCUGCGGCAGGCCCUGUGCUAGCGUGUUCGCCCCAGGAACGCAGGUGCUGGGCUGUCGGGGAGGCCUCAGGCCACAUCCAGAACAGAACACAAAGUUUUAAGUUUGAUUUUUUUAUUUCAAAAUGUUUUGCAAUUAAAUGAAUUACUGUUCA